UUCAAUGCACUUCUCCUCCUCCCAGUAGC
This 29-nucleotide non-coding RNA is filed under the name Macaca fascicularis (crab-eating macaque). Lineage: Eukaryota; Metazoa; Chordata; Mammalia; Primates; Cercopithecidae. RNAcentral also lists the same sequence under 1 other name. The record is from RNAcentral.